GUCGAGGAUCUUCGGCAAUGGGCGCAAGCCUGACCGAGCGACGCCGCGUGUGCGAUGAAGGCCUUCGGGUUGUAAAGCACUGUCGAGGGGAAGAAAGCCGCAAGGUUGAUCGACCCCUGGAGGAAGCACGGGCUAAGUUCGUGCCAGCAGCCGCGGUAAGACGAACCGUGCAAACGUUGUUCGGAUUCACUGGGCUUAAAGGGCGCGUAGGCGGGUGGCCAAGUCCGGGGUGAAAUCCUUCGGCUCAACCGGAGAACAGCUUCGGAUACUGGUCAUCUCGAGGAGGGUAGGGGCAGAUGGAACUUCCGGUGGAGCGGUGAAAUGCGUAGAUAUCGGAAGGAACGCCGGUGGCGAAAGCGAUCUGCUGGACCCUUACUGACGCUGAGGCGCGAAAGCCAGGGGAGCAAACGGGAUUAGAAACCCUGGUAGUCC
This 432-nucleotide ribosomal RNA is filed under the name uncultured bacterium. RNAcentral describes it as "bacterial SSU rRNA". It matches the Rfam family "Bacterial small subunit ribosomal RNA", at positions 354 to 796 of the family's 1533-position model. The record is from RNAcentral.